AUACGGAGGAUCCGAGCGUUAUCCGGAUUUAUUGGGUUUAAAGGGUGCGCAGGCGGCCAUUUAAGUCAGCGGUUAAAUCGUGGGGCUCAACCCCAUUCUGCCGUUGAUACUGGGUGGCUUGAUUGCGGUCGAGGUUGGCGGAAUUCGUUGUGUAGCGGGGAAAUGCAUAGAUAUGACGAAGAACACCGAUUGCGUAGGCAGCUGACCAGACCGCAAAUGACGCUCAUGCACGAAAGUGCGGGGAUCGAACAGGAUUAGAUACCCUGGUAGUCCGCACAGUAAACGAUGAAUACUUGUUUUCGGCGAUAUAAUGUCGGAGGCAAAGCGAAAGCGAUAAGUAUUCCACCUGGGGAGUGCGCCGGCAACGGUGAAACUCAAAUGAAUUGACGGGG
RNAcentral lists this ribosomal RNA (392 nucleotides) under uncultured bacterium. RNAcentral's name for it is "partial 16S ribosomal RNA". It matches the Rfam family "Bacterial small subunit ribosomal RNA", at positions 523 to 918 of the family's 1533-position model. The record is from RNAcentral.